RNAcentral lists this ribosomal RNA (304 nucleotides) under uncultured bacterium. Its description in RNAcentral is "bacterial SSU rRNA". It matches the Rfam family "Bacterial small subunit ribosomal RNA", at positions 171 to 474 of the family's 1533-position model. The record is from RNAcentral.
CUAUAAUAUCAUUUAAUCGCAUGAUUUUAUGAUUAAAGCUUCGGCGGUAAAAGAUGAGCAUGCGUCCUAUUAGUUAGUAGGUGAGGUAACGGCUCACCUAGACUCCGAUAGGUAGGGGUCCUGAGAGGGAGAUCCCCCACACUGGUACUGAGACACGGACCAGACUCCUACGGGAGGCAGCAGUGAGGAAUAUUGGACAAUGGACGAAAGUCUGAUCCAGCUAUGCCGCGUGCAGGAUGACGGCCCUAUGGGUUGUAAACUGCUUUUAACAGGAAGAAAAACUCCGACGUGUCGAAUCUUGACG